GCCGCACCCGCCCGCCGCCUUCCCGACUCGCACCGCGCCACUUCCCGGCGGCUAGAGCGGCCCUAGAGGCGCGCGACUGCUAGGGACGACCGGCCUGGAGCGCCCUCGCCGGGAGCGGCGGCCUCACCGGCCCCGGCCCCGGCCCCGGCCCCGGCCCCUCAGACCUCCGCAGUCCCAGGCGCCUGGCGUGCGUCCACCCAGGAGUCGCAGGGGCUGUUCUCAGUCGACCCGCGGGGAACCGGGCCUCAGGGGAGGAAGAUAUGAGGAAGACCAUUACUCUGAGCUUGGAGAGCCAAAUGGAAGCUGGUGCCUUCCCCCAGGAAAGCUAGGAGAAAGUCAGAUUUGGAAGAAGAUGGUGACAGGGGACGUUCUGUGUACUAAAGGAGUCUGGGAGUCAUGAAGUGCAUAGAGUUGAAGAAAGGAGACUACAGUUCACUUCCCACUGGUCACCCAAGACUCCUAAAGAAAUGACAAUCCCUUGGCACUGCAUUUAAUUGGAGAGGAGCUC
Molecule: long non-coding RNA, 508 nt
Filed under: Felis catus (domestic cat)
Lineage: Eukaryota; Metazoa; Chordata; Mammalia; Carnivora; Felidae
Description: lncRNA (ENSFCAG00000053403.1)
Source: RNAcentral